GCACAAAAUCAAAUGAUUCUUUUGUUGUGUAUCAAAAAAAAAAAGAAAUAACAACACUACUUGUAGAUACAUUAAUAUUGUUAAACCAGUUGUCAGAUGAUUUGAUAAAUAAUACCUCAACUAAACUACUGAGUGACAACACAAAAAACGAACUAAAUAUAAAUAAAAUUUAUAAAAAUUAUGAAAUUGUUCAAAAUAAAUUACAAAAUGCUACAUAUUUAACCAAAAUUAUAAAAAAACAGUUAGAGUUAGAAUUAAAAAAAAAAAAUGAAAACUUAGGUAAUAUAAAAGAGGAAAAACAAAUUGUUAAUAUAAAAACGGAAGAGCAGAAAGAACUUAAACAUUUCUUUAACAUUAAUGUAUGCCCUAUCAACCAAUCUAAUAAUAAACAAAUUUAUGAAACGAUAGUAACAAAAGAUAAACAUAAAAUAGUGGAAAAAAAACAGAAUCACAAUUUAAAUUAUUACAUUUAUUUUUGUGAAAAUAAUGAACACGAAAACUGCGAUGAUCAAUCUUGGGAAGAAAACAAAAAUGAGGAUUACAAAAAUGGAAUAAUUAAUAAUGUGAGUGAGGAUGGUAUGGAACAUAAGACACAAUUAGAAAAAAAUAAAAAUUUAAAUAAUAUAAAAAAUAAAAAUAAUAGUAAAAAUAUUUUUAAUGAUAAUAAUAACCACAAUAGUAACAACCAUCAUUAUCUAUGUGUUCAAAAUUUAAUAACAGAAUUAAAAGAUACUUUUAAAAAAAAAAAAAAUUAUAUUUAUAUUAACAAAAAAUUAUUUUUUGACAAAAAAAAAAAAGAUUUUUGCAUUGAUGAUAUAUCACCAACAGAUAUUCUCUUACUAAAAGAAAAAGUAAGUAAUGAAGAAAAUUGUACAUUCGAAAAAAAGCAAAAAUUAAACCAUAUAAAUUGUCAUAUUCAAUCAGAAACAUUACAGGACAAACAAACAAUUAUGGUAAAUCAAAACUAUGUUACUGAUAAUGAAGAUUAUAAAAAAAAUGGCGAUUAUGAAAAAAAUGGCGAUUAUGAAAAAAAUGGCGAUUAUGAAAAAAAUGACGAAUACGAUGAUAUAUGGUCACCUAUAGAAAAUACAUGUGCAUUCAGAAACUCAAUUGCCAAAUCGUUGUUACUAAUACAAAACAAUCAACAAUAAUAUGUCAAACAUAUAUAAAUAUAUAAAUAUAUAAAUACCGAAAUAAAUGUCAGCAUAAUGCGCCA
This 1216-nucleotide long non-coding RNA is filed under the name Piliocolobus tephrosceles (Ugandan red Colobus). Its description in RNAcentral is "lncRNA (ENSPTEG00000007681.1)". Lineage: Eukaryota; Metazoa; Chordata; Mammalia; Primates; Cercopithecidae. The record is from RNAcentral.